RNAcentral lists this ribosomal RNA (253 nucleotides) under uncultured bacterium. RNAcentral describes it as "partial 16S ribosomal RNA". It matches the Rfam family "Bacterial small subunit ribosomal RNA", at positions 524 to 776 of the family's 1533-position model. The record is from RNAcentral. RNAcentral also lists the same sequence under 1 other name.
GACGGAGGGUGCAAGCGUUGUUCGGAAUCACUGGGCGUAAAGCGCGUGUAGGCGGUUCGAUUAGUCGAGUGUGAAAGCCCGAGGCUCAACUUCGGAAGCGCAUUCGAAACUGUCGGGCUUGAGUACGGGAGAGGGAAGUGGAAUUCCUGGUGUAGAGGUGAAAUUCGUAGAUAUCAGGAGGAACACCGGUGGCGAAGGCGGCUUCCUGGACCGAUACUGACGCUGAGACGCGAAAGCGUGGGGAGCAAACAGG